Molecule: unclassified non-coding RNA, 280 nt
Filed under: Ascomycota sp.
Lineage: Eukaryota; Fungi; Ascomycota
Description: partial contains small subunit ribosomal RNA, internal transcribed spacer 1, and 5.8S ribosomal RNA
Rfam family: Eukaryotic small subunit ribosomal RNA (bases 1-47)
Source: RNAcentral
AAAGUCGUAACAAGGUUUCCGUAGGUGAACCUGCGGAAGGAUCAUUACCGAGUUAGGGUCCCUCCUUCGGGGCCCGACCUCCCAACCCUGUGUCUAUUGUCACCUCAGUUGCUUCGGUGGGCCGGAUGCGACCAACUGGUCGUUCAACCGCCGGUCUUAUGGGCUGGAGAGCUGCCCGCCGAUGGCCUCGACAUCAAACUCUUUGUACCGAAAAUUGUCGUCUGAAUUGAUUAGAUUUGAAUCAAAAACAAAACUUUCAACAACGGAUCUCUUGGUUCUG